Kogia breviceps (pygmy sperm whale) is the source of this 1145-nucleotide non-coding RNA. The record is from RefSeq and is a predicted model, not a curated record. NCBI's taxonomy places the organism in Eukaryota, Metazoa, Chordata, Mammalia, Artiodactyla, Physeteridae.
CACAGAGAGCUUAAGAAACUUGCCAAAGGUCACAGAGCUCAGAAUUAGCAGAGUCAAGAAUCAAGCCGAGGCAGGCAGUCUGGCUCCUGAGUCUGUGCAGUCACCCCAGAGGAGCUGAAGUCUGAGUCUUUGAACGCCAUGUGGGAACAAAGAAGGUUGACUCAGCUGUGAGGUGUGAGAAUGAAGAUGAGUUGAUGUAGCUGUGACCUCUGUGGAGGCAGAAGGCGAGGUACUAAGGGGUCCUGGAACCAAUCCGCGUGGAAACUGAGGGAUGACUAGAGUCUGAACCAAAGACGCCCAGAGAAGCUUUAGUCCCAGCACAUCAAAAGCAAAGUAUCUAAAACUUGAUUCUUCAUCUUCCCUCCUUUGUGGCAACUUCUCCUCCUGCGUUUACUUCUGUUGUGACACUGUUAUCAUCCCCUCAAUGCUUCAUUUUGAAGAAUCUGGAAGACGUCCUUUACUAUGGGCAUUGGUGCCAUAUUCAUACUAAGAACAUGGGUACCAUGACAUCAGGAAAAAACGAACCAUCAAAAUGAAGUGGAAACUCGGUAGUGAACCAGCAGUGAGAGGCAGUGCUGGACACGUCUCUGAGGCAAACUCCAAAUGAACUGGAAAGUAGUAACCCAGCCAGAAAAAUUAAGUAAUGGAUUUGUAUCAUCUUCUGGGUUCUGUACAUUUGGGAUAGGCUACCAGUGAAAUUGUUUUGAAUCUGGCAAUGGACUUGACUCAUGUGCCUUUCCAAAGGACUGUGGCCUUAAACUUCCGUAAAGAAAAAAAAAAAAAAUGACCUGUUUAUAGGAUGGUUUAUAGAAAAAAUAUUUGUAGUACUAAAUUCAGUGUUCAGUGCAAGUUUUUAGAGCUGAUUUUUCUACUUAAAAUCUUCUGAUCCAUCAACCACAUACCAACCAACCACAACAUAAAAACCAGAUGCCGUCUUAGGCUGUAAGAUGACCAGUCUCUGUGCUGAAAUGGCAAGGUAGGGAGUACGGGCUGUAGAGAUUUCAUUAGGAGGGCUGAUUGUGAGUGAAGAACAUGAAAACUGUGUUGGAUAAGGAAUGAAUGAAAAGAGAAGGGUCAAAUAUUUGAAAAUCUCUCAGUAAAAGAGAAAAUAAGAAUUUUUCUUUCCAGCUCUCAAGGCUGGCAAG